UGGGGAAUAUUGGACAAUGGGGGCAACCCUGAUCCAGCAAUACCGCGUGUGUGAAGAAGGCCUUCGGGUUGUAAAGCACUUUAGUUGGGGAAGAAGUUAUGGAGUUUAAGAGACACUAUAAUUGACGGUACCCAAAGAAUAAGCACCGGCUAACUCUGUGCCAGCAGCCGCGGUAAUACAGAGGGUGCAAGCGUUAAUCGGAGUUACUGGGCGUAAAGGGCGCGUAGGUGGUUAUAUAAGUUGGAUGUGAAAUCCCUGGGCUUAACCUAGGAACUGCAUUCAAGACUGUAUGACUGGAGUAUUGUAGAGGGUAGUGGAAUUUCCGGUGUAGCGGUGAAAUGCGUAGAGAUCGGAAGGAACACCAGUGGCGAAGGCGGCUACCUGGACAAAUACUGACACUGAGGCGCGAGAGCGUGGGGAGCAAACAGGAUUAGAUACCCCCGUAGUCC
Molecule: ribosomal RNA, 449 nt
Filed under: uncultured bacterium
Lineage: Bacteria
Description: bacterial SSU rRNA
Rfam family: Bacterial small subunit ribosomal RNA
Source: RNAcentral